This 487-nucleotide ribosomal RNA is filed under the name uncultured bacterium. RNAcentral's name for it is "partial 16S ribosomal RNA". It matches the Rfam family "Bacterial small subunit ribosomal RNA", at positions 29 to 507 of the family's 1533-position model. The record is from RNAcentral.
ACGAACGCUGGCGGCGUGCUUAACACAUGCAAGUCGAACGGAAAGGCCCUGCUUUUGUGGGGUGCUCGAGUGGCGAACGGGUGAGUAACACGUGAGUAAUCUGCCCUUGACUUUGGGAUAACUUCAGGAAACUGGGGCUAAUACCGGAUAGGAGCUCCUGCUGCAUGGUGGGGGUUGGAAAGUUUCGGCGGUUGGGGAUGGACUCGCGGCUUAUCAGCUUGUUGGUGGGGUAGUGGCUUACCAAGGCUUUGACGGGUAGCCGACCUGAGAGGGUGAUCGGCCACACUGGAACUGAGACACGGUCCAGACUCCUACGGGAGGCAGCAGUAGGGAAUCUUCCGCAAUGGGCGAAAGCUUGACGGAGCAACGCCGCGUGAGUGAUGAAGGUCUUCGGAUCGUAAAACUCUGUUAUUAGGGAAGAACAAAUGUGUAAGUAACUAUGCACGUCUUGACGGUACCUAAUCAGAAAGCCACGGCUAACUACGUG